AAACCUAGUUGGUUGCGAUAUG
This 22-nucleotide microRNA is filed under the name Schmidtea mediterranea. RNAcentral's name for it is "sme-miR-2e-5p". Its record names the gene sme-miR-2e-5p. The record is from miRBase by way of RNAcentral. Lineage: Eukaryota; Metazoa; Platyhelminthes; Tricladida; Dugesiidae.